RNAcentral lists this ribosomal RNA (740 nucleotides) under Rothia dentocariosa. Its description in RNAcentral is "bacterial SSU rRNA". It matches the Rfam family "Bacterial small subunit ribosomal RNA", at positions 28 to 776 of the family's 1533-position model. Lineage: Bacteria; Bacillati; Actinomycetota; Actinomycetes; Micrococcales; Micrococcaceae. The record is from RNAcentral.
GACGAACGCUGGCGGCGUGCUUAACACAUGCAAGUCGAACGAUGAAGCCUAGCUUGCUAGGUGGAUUAGUGGCGAACGGGUGAGUAAUACGUGAGUGACCUACCUUUGACUCUGGGAUAAGCCUGGGAAACUGGGUCUAAUACCGGAUACGACCAAUCUCCGCAUGGGGUGUUGGUGGAAAGCGUUAUGGAGUGGUUUUAGAUGGGCUCACGGCCUAUCAGCUUGUUGGUGAGGUAAUGGCUUACCAAGGCGACGACGGGUAGCCGGCCUGAGAGGGUGACCGGCCACACUGGGACUGAGACACGGCCCAGACUCCUACGGGAGGCAGCAGUGGGGAAUAUUGCACAAUGGGCGCAAGCCUGAUGCAGCGACGCCGCGUGAGGGAUGACGGCCUUCGGGUUGUAAACCUCUGUUAGCAUCGAAGAAGCGAAAGUGACGGUAGGUGCAGAGAAAGCGCCGGCUAACUACGUGCCAGCAGCCGCGGUAAUACGUAGGGCGCGAGCGUUGUCCGGAAUUAUUGGGCGUAAAGAGCUUGUAGGCGGUUGGUCGCGUCUGCUGUGAAAGGCUGGGGCUUAACCCUGGUUUUGCAGUGGGUACGGGCUAACUAGAGUGCAGUAGGGGAGACUGGAAUUCCUGGUGUAGCGGUGGAAUGCGCAGAUAUCAGGAGGAACACCGAUGGCGAAGGCAGGUCUCUGGGCUGUAACUGACGCUGAGAAGCGAAAGCAUGGGGAGCGAACAGG